Molecule: transfer RNA, 74 nt
Filed under: Halothiobacillus sp. 14-55-98
Lineage: Bacteria; Pseudomonadati; Pseudomonadota; Gammaproteobacteria; Chromatiales; Halothiobacillaceae
Description: tRNA-Cys
Rfam family: tRNA (bases 7-64)
About the family: Transfer RNA (tRNA) molecules are approximately 80 nucleotides in length.
Source: RNAcentral
CCUUGCAUGUCAGAGUGGUUAUGUCGCGGAUUGCAAAUCCGCUUACCUCGGUUCGAUUCCGGGUCCAGCCUCCA